ACUCCUACGGGAGGCAGCAGUGGGAAUAUUGGACAAUGGGCGAAAGCCUGAUCCAGCCAUGCCGCGUGUGUGAAGAAGGCCUUCGGGUUGUAAAGCACUUUCAGUGAGGAAGAAAGCCUUGGGGGUUAAUACCCUCGAGGGGAGGACAUCACUCACAGAAGAAGCACCGGCUAACUCCGUGCCAGCAGCCCGCGGUAAUACGGAGGGUGCGAGCGUUAAUCGGAAUUACUGGGCGUAAAGCGCGCGUAGGCGGCUUGAU
This 259-nucleotide ribosomal RNA is filed under the name uncultured bacterium. Its description in RNAcentral is "partial 16S ribosomal RNA". It matches the Rfam family "Bacterial small subunit ribosomal RNA", at positions 335 to 584 of the family's 1533-position model. The record is from RNAcentral.